CCUACGGGAGGCAGCAGUGGGGAAUAUUGGACAAUGGGCGAAAGCCUGAUCCAGCAAUGCCGCGUGAGUGAUGAAGGCCUUAGGGUUGUAAAGCUCUUUUACCCGGGAAGAUAAUGACUGUACCGGGAGAAUAAGCCCCGGCUAACUCCGUGCCAGCAGCCGCGGUAAUACGGAGGGGGCUAGCGUUAUUCGGAAUUACUGGGCGUAAAGCGUACGUAGGCGGUGGUUCAAGUCAGAGGUGAAAGCCCGGAGCUCAACUCCGGAACUGCCUUUGAAACUAGAUCGCUAGAACAUCGGAGAGGUAAGUGGAAUUCCGAGUGUAGAGGUGAAAUUCGUAGAUAUUCGGAAGAACACCAGUGGCGAAGGCGGCUUACUGGACGAUUGUUGACGCUGAGGUACGAAAGCGUGGGGAGCAAACAGGAUUAGAUACCCUGGUAGUCCACGCCGUAAACGAUGAUAACUAGCUGUUGGGCCUCAUAGAGGCUCAGUGGCGCAGCUAACGCAUUAAGUUAUCCGCCUGGGGAGUACGGUCGCAAGAUUAAAACUCAAAGGAUUAGACGGCUGAGAGNGCGACGACGACGACGAGGAGGAG
This 592-nucleotide ribosomal RNA is filed under the name uncultured bacterium. Its description in RNAcentral is "bacterial SSU rRNA". It matches the Rfam family "Bacterial small subunit ribosomal RNA", at positions 338 to 949 of the family's 1533-position model. The record is from RNAcentral.